This 478-nucleotide ribosomal RNA is filed under the name Fusidium sp. EXP0573F. RNAcentral describes it as "eukaryotic LSU rRNA". The stretch from base 176 to 329 matches the Rfam family "5.8S ribosomal RNA". The record is from RNAcentral. Lineage: Eukaryota; Fungi; Ascomycota; Sordariomycetes; Hypocreales; Nectriaceae.
GGAUCAUUACCGAAUUCGCCCGUCAGGGCAGAGUUCCCACCCGUGUAGAACAUACCUUUGUUGCUUUGGCAGGCCGCCGGGGCUCGCCCCGCUGCCGGCUCACGCUGGCAAGCGCCUGCCAGAGGACCUUCAAACCUGAAAUUUAGUGUUGUCUGAGUACUAUUUAAUAAGUUAAAACUUUCAACAACGGAUCUCUUGGUUCUGGCAUCGAUGAAGAACGCAGCGAAAUGCGAUAAGUAAUGUGAAUUGCAGAAUUUAGUGAAUCAUCGAAUCUUUGAACGCACAUUGCGCCCUCUGGUAUUCCGGAGGGCAUGCCUGUUCGAGCGUCAUUACAACCCUCAAGCUCUGCUUGGUGUUGGGUCGCGCCGCCUGGCCGACCCCAAAGACAGUGGUGGCGCCCCCCGGCCCUCAGCGUAGUAAAUCUCUCGCUGCAGGGCCCGCGGUGGUGUCGACACCCUAAACUUACACGGUUGACCUC